Molecule: non-coding RNA, 531 nt
Organism: Pantherophis guttatus
Lineage: Eukaryota; Metazoa; Chordata; Lepidosauria; Squamata; Colubridae
Source: RefSeq, a predicted model, not a curated record
CGAGAUAAAGCCCCACGGAGCGCUCCCCUGGGCGAGAGCCGUGAAAACCCUUUGCGAACUGACAGGAGGAGGAGGCGCUUUCAAGUGGCUCUUCGGUGGGCGGUAAACGAUCUGGGUUGAAGAACUCCUGGCCACCCCGAGAGGGCGACGAGGAGAAACCGGGAGCCUGGUAGCUGCACUCUUAGGCCGAAGCGACUCGGAACUUGUGGGGAUUGGGGAAUCCUCUGGAAAAUCCCGCCAGAACUCAGGAGGCUAUUUUGGGCGAACUAAUGUGGAAGGCGAGGCUGAUGUGAGGAAAAGAAGAGGCAGAGCAGGGGGCGGAGUCAAGAGAGGAAUCAGCCUGGAGUCAUUAUGUUCCUGCAAGCAGUCCAAGUCCAGCUUUACAUGACAGGCUGAGCCUAGGCGCUGGAAGAGAUCUAAGUCUAGUCCACCUUGAAUGCCUUCUUAUUCCUGCUUGUUUCCCUUGACUGUUAAUAGGUCAGAUUCUUAUAGAGAGCUUAAGUUUGCAAUAAAUCUUUAUACUAAUUUGAA